This 791-nucleotide unclassified non-coding RNA is filed under the name Hevea brasiliensis (rubber tree). Lineage: Eukaryota; Viridiplantae; Streptophyta; Magnoliopsida; Malpighiales; Euphorbiaceae. The record is from RNAcentral.
UUUUUUCUCUCCAAUUAAGAAGGUAUAUGUGUUUUCUCUUAACCUUUGUGAUUGACAUCUUGUUCAUAGAGACUAGGUCUCUAAGAAGGAUGUGAUCUUGCAUAGGUAUGACAUUGCAAAGUGUAUGUUCACUGUAAGUACCAAAUUCCAAAUGGGAUUAAUUUUGCUCAUUGUCAUUGAACUUAUUCUUAAUGUACUCAUUAAACUUCAAUUGGUUACUUAAAAGUCUCUGAAAAUUAAUUUAAAUAUCAGUAAUAGUUCUUUUUAUAUGCUUGGUCAAAUAUCUCAAAAUUUUGACAUAAAUAAUAAAAGUUAAUUUUUUAAAUAAGAUUUGCAUUAUUGUUAUAAAUUUUCAUUCUUUUCUCUUCCCACUUAUUGUCCCUUUCCUCUCACACAAACUUUCUCUACUACAUCUUAGUUCAGAUUUAAUUAAAAUUCACUAAUAAAUUAUAUAAAUCAAUGACAAGAGAAGCUUUAAUUUAAACCAUGGUUUUAAAAAUCGUAGGGUGAGUAACACAUUAAAAUUACAUAAUGAAAAUUGAUAGGAGCAAUCCGAUUUUUAGUGAUUAAUCUAUAGCAAGAUUCAAAAAUCAUAGGGAAAUGGCGAUACGAAAUUUGAUGUAUGUGCAUAUUUGUUGACAAUCAUAAAUUUUUGUUUUUUCCUCCCAUUGUUUGGUUUUGUUUGUCCUUGGGCAAAGAUGGAUGCAACUGAAAAGAACGAGUUCCUACCCUUUUUGGAGAAUUGAUGCACCUUCAGUUCUAUUCAUAGGAGGAAGAAGAAGAAGAACAAG